This 253-nucleotide ribosomal RNA is filed under the name uncultured bacterium. RNAcentral's name for it is "partial 16S ribosomal RNA". It matches the Rfam family "Bacterial small subunit ribosomal RNA", at positions 524 to 776 of the family's 1533-position model. The record is from RNAcentral.
UACGGGGGGGGCAAGCGUUGUUCGGAAUUACGGGGCGUAAAGGGUUCGUAGGUGGCUCGCUAAGUCAGACGUGAAAUCCCUCAGCUUAACUGGGGAACUGCGUCUGAGACUGGCAAGCUUGAGUGCAGGAGAGGAACGCGGAAUUCCAGGUGUAGCGGUGAAAUGCGUAGAUAUCUGGAGGAACACCGGUGGCGAAGGCGGCGUUCUGGGCUGCAACUGACACUGAUGAACGAAAGCCAGGGGAGCAAACGGG